Molecule: ribosomal RNA, 426 nt
Filed under: uncultured bacterium
Lineage: Bacteria
Description: bacterial SSU rRNA
Rfam family: Bacterial small subunit ribosomal RNA
Source: RNAcentral
UGGGGAAUUUUGGACAAUGGGCGCAAGCCUGAUCCAGCAAUGCCGCGUGCAGGAUGAAGGCCUUCGGGUUGUAAACUGCUUUUGUACGGAGCAAAAGGUCUGCCCUAAUACGGUGGGCUCAUGACGGUACCGUAAGAAUAAGCACCGGCUAACUACGUGCCAGCAGCCGCGGUAAUACGUAGGGUGCGAGCGUUAAUCGGAAUUACUGGGCGUAAAGCGUGCGCAGGCGGUUAUAUAAGACAGAUGUGAAAUCCCCGGGCUCAACCUGGGACCUGCAUUUGUGACUGCAUAGCUAGAGUACGGUAGAGGGGGAUGGGAUUCCGCGUGUAGCAGUGAAAUGCGUAGAUAUGCGGAGGAACACCGAUGGCGAAGGCAAUCCCCUGGACCUGUACUGACGCUCAUGCACGAAAGCGUGGGGAGCAAACA